Molecule: long non-coding RNA, 1232 nt
Organism: Magallana angulata
Lineage: Eukaryota; Metazoa; Mollusca; Bivalvia; Ostreida; Ostreidae
Exons: 4
Source: RefSeq, a predicted model, not a curated record
CUACAAUUGCUGCAUUUCAAGUACAAAUGUAGCAAUAAUCCAUAUUAUAAAAAUAUAUUUGAUUAAAUAAAUGCAAAAUCGUAAUCAUUGUAAUUCGGAAUUUUUAAUUUCGUUCGGCGGUUUCUGUCGUAGCGUACCAGACGACAAGUUCGACAAUCGCAAUGAAUAGAUUGAAUGAAUGACGGUGCAGUGAUUGACGGAACUAUGUUCAUUAUCGAUACGUAGACAUAUUCAACACAACUGAUGUACCACUAUGGGAUUGUAUUAGAAAUCGGAUGUUCAUGUUUGUGUGACUUUACCAGUGUUCAGAGGUCAAAUUAAGUUUAUUUCCAUAGUGAUGAUGAAGAAAUAGCAAUAAACAGAGAAUGCCUAAGUUCUACCCCUGCUUGCUGUGCUCCAAAAGAACAUCACAACAGGACAGAUACAGGAUAAAGAAGGAGCAUGCAGACUUCAUCAAGAGAAGACUCCGUAUGGAUGUUUCUGAUGACAGCAUGCUGUGUAGGAAAUGUCGUCACAUGUGUGAAACAAAAUCGACAAGAGAUUCUAUUUGCAACAGCCCUGAGCCAAACAAAAUACAGAAAACAUUAUCAAAGCAGAGUAUGAAGAGCCCUCCUUCAGUAACACUGUCCAUCCCAAGUACUUCUACAAGUCAUGCCAACUGUGUAAUAUGUAAAAAGCCAGGGCCAAAGCUUGUUGUUGUUCCUGAAAACACUCGUGUAAAUGUAUUCAUCCAAAAAGAAACAUUUGUUCCACCUGGUUCUAGAUGCUGUCCUUAACAUAUAUCUGAUGGAGAUCUCAACACUGAGGCAUUGCAUCUGUUGAAACAAACAAGUUCUGUCUCCAAUGUCAACAGGACCACCAUUGUUGGAGUUUUAAAACAAACCAGGGAUGUAGCAAUCCAAAAUCAGAACAAGAGACUGAAUUUUGAUGAUCCACAUGGAAUGCAAAAUGAAGAUUACUACAAUCUAACAGGUGUUACAAAGGAUCAGUUUGAUGAAUUGAUGACGUAUUUGGUGGAGACCAACUUAAGAUCAUCCAAGAACAGAAGUACUAGAACAUGUGUAGCAUUAUUGUUGACGAAACUUAGAUGUGGUUUAAGUAAUCAACUACUUGGAACCUUAUUUGGCAUGAAAAAAUGGCAGGUUCGACGUGCUGUUAUAUCUGCGAAAAAUGCUUUGAUGGAAGAUUUUGUGCCAAAGCAUUUGGGGUUCUCUCACAUAUCAAGGGAGGAU